AACGAACGCUGGCGGCAGGCUUAACACAUGCAAGUCGAGCGCACUCUUCGGAGUGAGCGGCAGACGGGUGAGUAACGCGUGGGAAUCUACCUAUCACUACGGAAUAACACAGAGAAAUUUGUGCUAAUACCGUAUACGUCCUAAUGGAGAAAGAUUUAUCGGUGAUGGAUGAGCCCGCGUUGGAUUAGCUAGCUGGUGAGGUAAUGGCUCACCAAGGCGACGAUCCUUAGCUGGUUUGAGAGGAUGACCAGCCACACUGGGACUGAGACACGGCCCAGACUCCUACGGGAGGCAGCAGUGGGGAAUCUUGGACAAUGGGGGCAACCCUGAUCCAGCAAUACCGCGUGUGUGAAGAAGGCCCUAGGGUUGUAAAGCACUUUUGUUAGGGAGAACGGUAAUCGUAAUUAAUACCUAUGGUUGCUGAUGUUACCUAAAGAAUAAGCACCGGCUAACUACGUGCCAGCCGCCGCUGU
RNAcentral lists this ribosomal RNA (473 nucleotides) under uncultured Hyphomicrobiales bacterium. Its description in RNAcentral is "bacterial SSU rRNA". It matches the Rfam family "Bacterial small subunit ribosomal RNA", at positions 29 to 521 of the family's 1533-position model. The record is from RNAcentral. Lineage: Bacteria; Pseudomonadati; Pseudomonadota; Alphaproteobacteria; Hyphomicrobiales.